RNAcentral lists this ribosomal RNA (119 nucleotides) under Salmo salar (Atlantic salmon). The record is from RNAcentral. Lineage: Eukaryota; Metazoa; Chordata; Actinopteri; Salmoniformes; Salmonidae.
GCUUAGGGCCAUACCAGCCUGGGUACGCCCGAUCUCGUCUCAUCUCGGAAGCUAAGCAGGGUCGGGCCUGGUUAGUACUUGGAUGGGAGACCGCCUGGGAAUACCAGGUGCUGUAAGCA